Molecule: long non-coding RNA, 253 nt
Filed under: Vigna radiata
Lineage: Eukaryota; Viridiplantae; Streptophyta; Magnoliopsida; Fabales; Fabaceae
Description: long non-coding RNA (VRAD_LNC004999)
Source: RNAcentral
AAGUUGUUAAGUUGAAGUGUCAUUUGGGUUUAUGAAUCCCAUGCAUGUUUGUUGAGACUUUGGCAAGUGCACCAAAUCGCUCAAGGAGUAAAACCGGUAAGACCGGAUAUCGUUUCCCAAGAGACUCGGUCACUACUUUACAAUCGUAUAAUUGCUAACUAAUUUAAGCUAAAGAAUGAUUCCAUUUUAGUGUGAAAUUGUGCAAUGAAAGUAAGAGUCAUGCAUAAGUAGAGGUUUGAACUACUUGGGGCCA